Long non-coding RNA from Sphaeramia orbicularis (orbiculate cardinalfish), 161 nucleotides. RefSeq lists it as uncharacterized. The transcript has 2 exons. The record is from RefSeq and is a predicted model, not a curated record. NCBI's taxonomy places the organism in Eukaryota, Metazoa, Chordata, Actinopteri, Kurtiformes, Apogonidae.
CUCUCGGCUGGCCUGGGAACGCCUCGGGAUCCCCCCAGAAGAGCUGGAAGAGGUGUCUGGGGAGAGGGAGGUCUGGGCAUCCCUGCUUGGACUGUUGCCCCCGCAACCCAGCCUUGGAUAAGCAGAAGAAAAUGGAUGGAUGGAUGGAGAUACAAUUGAUU